GGUGGUGCAUGGCCGUUCUUAGUUGGUGGAGUGAUUUGUCUGGUUAAUUCCGAUAACGAACGAGACCUUAACCUGCUAACUAGAUACUUUUAUUCUAUAAAUGCUAUCUUCUUAGAGGGACUAUGUAAUUCAAAUACAUGGAAGUUUGAGGCAAUAACAGGUCAGUGAUGCCCUUAUAUGUCCUGGGCUGCACGCGUGCUACACUGAUGCAUACAACAAGUGCCUAACCAGACAUGGUACGGCAAUCUCGAAUAUGCAUCGUGAUGGGGAUAGAUCUUUGCAAUU
This 285-nucleotide ribosomal RNA is filed under the name uncultured rumen protozoa. RNAcentral describes it as "partial 18S ribosomal RNA". It matches the Rfam family "Eukaryotic small subunit ribosomal RNA", at positions 1276 to 1591 of the family's 1831-position model. The record is from RNAcentral.